UACGUAGGGGGCAAGCGUUGUCCGGAUUUAUUGGGCGUAAAGAGCUCGUAGGUGGUUCGGUAAGUCGGAUGUGAAAUCUCCAGGCUCAACCUGGAGGGGUCAUUCGAUACUGCCGUGACUAGAGUUCGGUAGGGGAGUGUGGAAUUCCUGGUGGAGCGGUGAAAUGCGCAGAUAUCAGGAGGAACACCAGCGGCGAAGGCGGCGCUCUGGGCCGGAACUGACGCUGAGGAGCGAAAGCGUGGGUAGCAAACAGG
This 254-nucleotide ribosomal RNA is filed under the name uncultured bacterium. Its description in RNAcentral is "partial 16S ribosomal RNA". It matches the Rfam family "Bacterial small subunit ribosomal RNA", at positions 524 to 776 of the family's 1533-position model. The record is from RNAcentral.